RNAcentral lists this long non-coding RNA (676 nucleotides) under Salmo salar (Atlantic salmon). Its description in RNAcentral is "lncRNA (ENSSSAG00000106941.1)". The record is from RNAcentral. Lineage: Eukaryota; Metazoa; Chordata; Actinopteri; Salmoniformes; Salmonidae.
GUUAUUGUUGGUUAUUAUUAUCCAGGCUAAUAGAACCAAGUGGGCAGAAUGGGUUAUUGUUGUUUAUUAUUAUCCAGGCUAAUAGAACCAAGUGGACAGAAUGGGUUAUUGUUGGUUAUUAUUAUCCAGGCUAAUAGAACCAAGUGGACAGAAUGGGUUAUUGUUGUUUAUUAUUAUCCAGGCUAUUAGAACCAAGUGGACAGAAUGGGUUAUUGUUGGUUAUUAUUAUCCAGGCUAAUAGAACCAAGUGGACAGAAUGGGUUAUUGUUGUUUAUUAUUAUCCAGGCUAUUAGAACCAAGUGGACAGAAUGGGUUAUUGUUGGUUAUUAUUAUCCAGGCUAUUAGAACCAAGUGGACAGAAUGGGUUAUUGUUGGUUAUUAUUAUCCAGGCUAAUAGAACCAAGUGGGCAGAAUGGGUUAUUAUUGUUUAUUAUUAUCCAGGCUAUUAGAACCAAGUGGACAGAAUGGGUUAUUGUUGUUUAUUAUUAUCCAGGCUAUUAGAACCAAGUGGACAGAAUGGGUUAUUGUUGUUUAUUAUUAUCCAGGCUAUUAGAACCAAGUGGACAGAAUGGGUUAUUGUUGGUUAUUAUUAUCCAGGCUAAUAGAACCAAGUGGACAGAAUGGGUUAUUGUUGUUUAUUAUUAUCCAGGCUAUUAGAACCAAGUGGACAGAAUGG